UACGUAGGGUGCAAGCGUUAAUCGGAAUUACUGGGCGUAAAGCGUGCGCAGGCGGCUGUGCAAGACAAGAUGUGAAAUCCCCGGGCUUAACCUGGGAAUUGCAUUUGUGAACUGCACGGCUAGAGUGUGUCGAGAGGGGGGUAGAAUUCCACGUGUAGCAGUGAAAUGCGUAGAUAUGUGGAGGAAUACCGAUGGCGAAGGCAGCCCCCUGGGAUAACACUGACGCUCAUGCACGAAAGCGUGGGGAGCAAACAGG
This 256-nucleotide ribosomal RNA is filed under the name uncultured bacterium. RNAcentral's name for it is "partial 16S ribosomal RNA". It matches the Rfam family "Bacterial small subunit ribosomal RNA", at positions 524 to 776 of the family's 1533-position model. The record is from RNAcentral.